UACGUAGGGUGCGAGCGUUGUCCGGAAUUACUGGGCGUAAAGAGCUCGUAGGUGGUUUGUCGCGUUGUCCGUGAAAUUCCCUGGCUUAACUGGGGGCGUGCGGGCGAUACGGGCAGACUGGAGUACUGCAGGGGAGACUGGAAUUCCUGGUGUAGCGGUGGAAUGCGCAGAUAUCAGGAAGAACACCCGUGGCUAAGGCGGCUCUCUAGUACGGUACUGACG
RNAcentral lists this ribosomal RNA (222 nucleotides) under uncultured bacterium. RNAcentral describes it as "partial 16S ribosomal RNA". It matches the Rfam family "Bacterial small subunit ribosomal RNA", at positions 524 to 745 of the family's 1533-position model. The record is from RNAcentral.